UACAGAGGUCUCGAGCGUUAGGCGGAAUCACUGGGCUUAAAGCGUGUGUAGGUGGAUCGUUAAGUACCUUGUGAAAUCCCACGGCUUAACCGUGGAACUGCUUGGUAUACUGGCGGUCUUGAGCCACUUAGGGGCUACCGGAACAAAUGGUGGAGCGGUGAAAUGCGUAGAUAUCAUUUGGAACGCCAAUGGUGAAAACAGGUAGCUGGGAGUGUGAUGACACUGAGAAACGAAAGCCAGGGGAGCAAACGGG
This 253-nucleotide ribosomal RNA is filed under the name uncultured bacterium. RNAcentral describes it as "partial 16S ribosomal RNA". It matches the Rfam family "Bacterial small subunit ribosomal RNA", at positions 524 to 776 of the family's 1533-position model. The record is from RNAcentral.